This 775-nucleotide ribosomal RNA is filed under the name uncultured soil bacterium. RNAcentral describes it as "bacterial SSU rRNA". It matches the Rfam family "Bacterial small subunit ribosomal RNA", at positions 8 to 796 of the family's 1533-position model. The record is from RNAcentral.
AGAGUUUGAUCCUGGCUCAGGACAAACGCUGGCGGGGUGCAUGAGACAUGCAAGUCGAACGAGGUGAUCAUCGGGCUUGCUCGAUGACCACCUAGUGGCGGACGGCUGAGUAACGCGUAGGUGACCUACCCGGAAGUGGGGAAUAACUGCCCGAAAGGGUGGCUAAUACCGCAUGUGGUCGACGAUUCGAUUCGUCGUCUAAAGGAGCAAUUCGCUUCCGGAGGGGCCUGCGUCCGAUUAGCUAGUUGGUGGGGUAACGGCUCACCAAGGCGACGAUCGGUAGCUGGUCUGAGAGGAUGAUCAGCCAGACUGGGACUGAGAACGGCCCAGACUCCUACGGGAGGCAGCAGUCGGGAAUUUUGCCCAAUGGACGAAAGUCUGAGGCAGCAACUCCGCGUGAGGGAUGAAGGCUCUCGGGUCGUAAACCUCUUUUCUCAGGGAAGAUCCAAGACGGUACCUGAGGAAUAAGCGACGGCUAACUACGUGCCAGCAGCCGCGGUAAUACGUAGGUCGCAAGCGUUGUCCGGAUUUACUGGGCGUAAAGAGCGCGCAGGCGGCUGGUCAAGUCCGAUGUGAAAUCUCCCGGCUCAACUGGGAAACUGCAUCGGAAACUGAUCGGCUUGAAGGUGGGAGAGGGUAGUGGAAUUCCCGGUGUAGUGGUGAAAUGCGUAGAUAUCGGGAGGAACACCAGUGGCGAAGGCGACUACCUGGCCCAUUCUUGACGCUGAGGCGCGAAAGCUAGGGGAGCGAACGGGAUUAGAUACCCCUGUAGUCC